GUUUUCUAUUGUUGUUGUGUAAUAUUUUCUUAAAUAAGGAGAAUGUUGCGUCACGACUGUGACCCAUAUAAUUAUUACUGGGUUUGUACUUACAUGAGCAUCACGACGGAUGUCACGUGUGGAGUAGAAUUUACGUACCCUUCCAUAACAGCUGAGAUCUCCCAGUUUUUGGUGGGGUUCGUGUUGCUUAGUCUUUAUUUUUU
This 203-nucleotide long non-coding RNA is filed under the name Mytilus galloprovincialis (Mediterranean mussel). Lineage: Eukaryota; Metazoa; Mollusca; Bivalvia; Mytilida; Mytilidae. The record is from RNAcentral.